CUCUUCUUAUCUUUGUCCAGCUGCCAAAAGUUUAGUUAUUAAGAUCUCACACGUUCCUGGCAACAAAAUGAAUCAAGCUUUCCCUGAGGUCUAUGAUACUUUGGAACCUGCAACUGUUACUGUGCAAUCGAACUCACAGCAUUCUAUUACACUGAAGACAUAAGAUGUUUUUAUUCAGGUUGUCUCUUCCCACAACAUCCCACUUAGGGAAGAUGCAAGAAUGACUUUUCAGACUGCAGAGCCCUCAGGCUUUCUGCCUCUCCAUCCCACUGUUACUCCAUGGUUUCCUCUCUUCCCAGUUCAUGAUAGCACCACAGGACUGCAUGAGCCAGGCUACUAAAAUCAUCUUGGUCUAUCACUGUGCCUUGCCCUUCUCCAGAGGAAGAUGUGUGCAAUUCUUCUGCUGCACCAUUUGAUACUUUAAAGAGACAUCCGAGAAAUCCUGCCGGGGGAACACACUACCAUCAUGGGCCAACGCUCAGCAGCAGGAGCAUCUCCAGGGCCAUUUUCAGAAGUGGAUGAUGUCUGGAUGGGCCAGGAGGAGAGCUGCUGUGCCCAGCCCAUGCCACUGGGUGUCCUCAUGAGGCCAGCUACACUGGUCUGGGGGCCUUCGGCGGUGGCACAUGUUGCAAAACACACGGGAAAGGGAUUGGGCUGGUGUUUUAUUUGUCGUUGGGCGAUGGCCAAUAUCAAAUUGACUCAUAUAGUACAUCACCCGCCGAGAAACCCAGCCACAAAAUUAAUUGGCAUGAAUAUGAAAUGUAUACUUCUCCUAAUCAGCUUCAGCGAAGAUUAUAUCCAAAGGCCCUUUUUGCGGUCAUUCACAGAGCUUAAUUGCUAUAGUUAAUAUUACAAUUAAAAAAAAAGGCCUGGGAGGAGAGCUGAAUAUUAGGCUCAUGAUGAAUGAUAAUUAUCACUUUGUGUAGAUGGGUGAAAAACGUUUCUAAUUAAAUUAUUCUUGUAGCAUAAAUUAAUAGUGUGAUCUGGAUAAAGCGCUUUUGAUUUCCCAUUUAGAGUAUUUCUAAAAGUGCCACGUUUGUGCCAGAAUUUCAGUCUGUAGGUCAACCUGCCUUUUAAAAAUACCUGACUUCUCAGUGAAUUUAGUUGCUUAUCACAGCUUUCUGCAGUGAUGUUCUGCAAUAAUGGGAUGGUUCAAACAUUGCACAGAGAAUAAAAUCAACUAUGCAACUAAUAGUUCUGUGAGCUGGGGAAUUCAUAGCAUAAUUGGCAGGGUUUCAUAGCAUAACUGUCACAUCUUAUUCCUAUAGCAAUUUCAUCUCUGUCUGAGGAUUUUUGCAAGACACAAACCAUUAAGCUAAUACUCUAAAAACAGGAAAGCUCAUUAGCAGCUCUAGGGAAGGGGGUGAGAUGGGUGCUGAAGGUGCCGGUCAUUAAGGUCUGAGAGAAAAGGAAGUGUGAAAGUUGCUAGGAAGAAUUACUCUACAUGCACUCUGCCUGUGCUCGGGAAAAAUCCCAUCAUUUUUGUAUACCUAGCAUUUCUUCCUCAUCAGUGAGAGCCACAGUGAGUAAAGCAAACAGGCCGAUGUAGCGGGCUCAGCUGAAAGUGUCAGCCUGCACUUCAGGCAGUGGAUUACAGAUAAUGACUCUCAGAUGACCAGUAGCUCCGUGGCCUAAUAUAUACAGCUUACUUGUUAGGUGUUGACAGCAGCCUUUUCCAGCAGGCCUCGGUAGACAUUCAUUUUAAGUUUCGAAAGUGACUGUCCCUGCCUGCAACAGGCCGUUUUUGAAGGUUAUAAGUGGGAGAUAGAUGGCCACUUUCUGUCAAGAUAAUGGGAAUUUUGUGUCAGAGCCCUCUCCGUGCAUACGGAAGACUGUCCCUGGGAUUUUCUGCAUGCAUGCCCUCUCGUGUAUGCAGUACAUUAGCGCUUACUGUAUAUAUCAAAAUUUGGCACUGCUGUAUCUCUCUAAACAUUGCAUUAAUCCAUCUGUCUGUCACCAUAGUAACAAGGCUCCCUAUUGAUGACUGAAGACGAGCUGAACCAUUACAACUAAAUGUGCAUGGUUAAAAAGAAGUGAGGAAGCUCACUUGGUGUGAGCUACAGGGACACUGUGGACAUAUGGUAGAAAAUGGGCUAAUUAAUGCUCUCUAUGCAUUAUUUUUAUUCAUGGUCAUCCUAAAUAAAGCCUAUUGCUAAAACAGUCCUUAAAUCUGAUCUUUGCUUGCUCACAUUUACUUAUUACAAUUUCUGAAGAAGUCAACAUUAAAAAAUGUGUAUUUUUUCAGAAGUUUACAUGUUCUGUGGUACAGAUAUCUCCCAGAGGGUGGAAAGAUGAAAUGAAUAACUUAAAGAUCCCAAGUACAAAGCAGACCAGAAAUGUUGCUGAAUAUUUCACGGCACAUAUUCUCUCUCUCUCUCUCUCUCUCUCAAUUCCAUGCUUGUAACAUUGCCAAAGUAAAAUCAGUAAAGUGCAUGCAUUCAUUAAAGGAUCAAUGUCUAACUGAACACUGGUAGUUAGUUGGACCUGAGAUUUUUUUGAGAACCAUAAUGUUGUGGAAACUCUGACAUGAAUUACUGUACUUUGUAAAUCAUUCUUAGACAAUGAAUUUCCAUUUUUUAUUACUCUGGCGCCAUGCAUGCUAUUAAUGGUAGACUCGAGUCUAUAAUUCUAUUAGGCUAUAAAGAGGUCUUUGGUUUUAGACCAGAAAUAAAGCUUAAAACUAACCACUGGCAUCUC
Non-coding RNA from Anas platyrhynchos (mallard), 2697 nucleotides. The record is from RefSeq and is a predicted model, not a curated record. Lineage: Eukaryota; Metazoa; Chordata; Aves; Anseriformes; Anatidae.